This 480-nucleotide long non-coding RNA is filed under the name Bemisia tabaci. RNAcentral's name for it is "lncRNA ENSSSA2NGG012084". Lineage: Eukaryota; Metazoa; Arthropoda; Insecta; Hemiptera; Aleyrodidae. The record is from RNAcentral.
AUGAGUUGCUGGUUAAUUUAAAGGACGAUGCCAUGAAGCUCCCGAGUCAAGCGUGAAGUAAACCAUUCUGGAACUGCAGUUACAUUUUAUACAUGGAAAUUUCGGCGAUGAAAACAGUGAGGCUGAUUGUGGACUCUGCAUCAAAACUCAUUUCUGUCUCUUGUCCACAUAAGGCGUCAGGCCCGUGUAUUAAUGGUUUCGGACGAUUUAGUUCCGAGUUCGCGGGAUUAUGACCGCAAUCCUGCAGAGGAAGAGCGAGAGAAGUAAGACAGCAGAGAAUUUGAUCACGGAAUUCACGGACGAUAUUCAAUCACAGCAUUCAGAGCGAGAAGGAAAAUGGAAAAGAUGCGCCAUGCAGAGCGCGAACGUGUCCAAAAUAGCACAAUGGGCUCAUCUGCCGUCGGCCGUCGUCGGCGUCUCGGCUCCGUGACAUUGAUCAAGUAAAACGCGCGUGAUAUCGGCGGCGUAGGCGUUAGAGCG